GGGAGUUACUUCCUUCCGCAUUACAUAAUAUUAUCUGAUGCUUAGUUACUCCUGAACAAAUGUGUUUGUUCAGUCGCUUUUUGUCCAUGUAAUCAACCAUAUCUGCCUCGAUUUGAUUAAACAAGUUGCAGCGGCAUAAAAUUCAGCGACUGACUGCGUCGUGCCUGGCUGCCUGUUACUCACCCAGAAAAUGACAUGCUCUGCAUUUGCCAGAAAGGCUGCACGUGGGGUUGGAGAAGAGGGUCUGUGCGGCACCGGUGACACAGGCGUGGCUACCGAUUAAGUGAGGUCUUUGCUGACUUGUCCACUCAUCCGGAAACAAGAGCAAGAAAGGACAUAGGAACUCAGUUCCCUGAAGACAAGAGGCUCCAUUUCAAGGAACCAGACCAGGAUUCAUCUUUGUCUAUGGUUUCUAAUCGGAAAGUUCCCAUUUGCAGUAACUACCUGACAUCUUGUGGGUCACAUAAACCUUUUUGUUUGGGCAUCUGAUUUGGUACUCCAAAGAUUUGCAUGCAAACAUAUCUUAGGCCGUAAUGUCGGGAGUCAAACUACCUUGACUUUCAAAUAUUGGUCCUGCACUUGAGGAAACUGUGGACAGUGAAAUCUCUCUUUAAUGUCACAGUUUCCUUUUAUGUAAAAUGAGACCAAUAAUGGAAGAUUGAAUGAAGUGCAUAUGUACAUAAAACCUUCAGGCUAGUGCAUGGCACUUAGAAAGCAUUCAACAGACGUUCAUGUUGUACCACAUCUUCUUUUUUUUUAAUGUUUAUUUAUUUUUGACAGACAGAGCGUGAGCGGGGGAGGGGCAGACAGAGAGGGAGACACAGAAUCCAAAGCAGGCUCCAGGCUCCGAGCUGUCAGCACAGAGCCCGACGUGGGGCUUGAACUCACGGACCGUGACAUCAUGACCCGAGCCGAAGUCGGACACUCAACUGACUGAGCCACCUGGGCGUCCCAUACCACAUCUUCUUUAUCGAUUCAUCCAUCGAUGGACAUUUGGGCUCUUUCAAUACUUUAGCUACUGUCAAUAGUGCUGCUAUAAACAUGGGCGUGCAUGUGCCCCUUCGAAACAGCACACCUGUCUCCCUUGGAUAAAUGCCUAGUAGUGCAAUUGCUGGGUCGUAGGGUCGUUCCAUUUUUAGUUUUCUGAGGAACCUCCAUCCUGUUUUCCAGAGUGGCUGCACCAGCUUGCAUUCCCACCAACAAUGCCAAAGAGAUCCUCUUUCUCCACAUCCUCGCCAGCAUCUGUUGUUGCCUGAGUUGUUAAUGUUAGCCAUUCUGACAGGUGUACAGCCCUACUUUCUAAUAAAAUGCUUCCAUUGGCUUGAUAUCUCA
Molecule: long non-coding RNA, 1332 nt
Filed under: Felis catus (domestic cat)
Lineage: Eukaryota; Metazoa; Chordata; Mammalia; Carnivora; Felidae
Description: lncRNA (ENSFCAG00000046833.1)
Source: RNAcentral